RNAcentral lists this ribosomal RNA (502 nucleotides) under uncultured delta proteobacterium. RNAcentral's name for it is "bacterial SSU rRNA". It matches the Rfam family "Bacterial small subunit ribosomal RNA", at positions 36 to 523 of the family's 1533-position model. The record is from RNAcentral. Lineage: Bacteria; Deltaproteobacteria.
UUAGCGGGCGCGCCUAACACAUGCAAGUCGCACGAGAGGGGGCAACCCUGACAGUGGCGCACGGGUGCGUAACACGUAGAUAAUCUGCCCUUCAACGGGGGAUAACGUUCCGAAAGGAGCGCUAAUACCGCAUAACGCCAAUUUGGGCUUCGGCCUGGGUGGACAAAGGCUGGGACCGUAAGGCCAGUCGUCGGAGGAGGAGUCUGCGGCCCAUCAGCUAGUUGGCGAGGUAAUGGCUCACCAAGGCGAAGACGGGUAGCUGGUCUGAGAGGAUGAUCAGCCACACUGGUACUGGAACACGGACCAGACUCCUACGGGAGGCAGCAGUGGGGAAUCUUGGUCAAUGGGCGCAAGCCUGAACCAGCGACGCCGCGUGAGUGAUGAAGGCCUUCGGGUUGUAAAGCUCUGUGGGGAGGGACGAAAGACUGAGGUCUAAUAGGCUUCAGGUUGACGGUACCUCCUUAGCAAGCACCGGCUAACUCUGUGCCAGCAGCCGCGGUAA